Molecule: long non-coding RNA, 419 nt
Organism: Anolis carolinensis (green anole)
Lineage: Eukaryota; Metazoa; Chordata; Lepidosauria; Squamata; Anolidae
Exons: 2
Source: RefSeq, a predicted model, not a curated record
GUUAGUCCCUGCUAGGCGGGCGAGCGAAACACACAUGACUGUACUAUAUAAAAAUGUAUGUUUGAUGCUUGCAAAUCAUGUCAGCUUUGGGUGGCUUACAGCUGGCUGUCAUCCUUUCUUGCCGGAUCAAAUGAAUUUCUCAACUGAUUCUGCUGCUCCGGGCUUGUCUCAUGGCACGGGUGGCAACUCCUGCCCUUUACUCCAGAAAAGACCAAUGUAAAGGUCAGAAUGAACGUCAAGCAGUUUAUCCCUGCCUUGAAGAGGGACUGCGCAGAACAUUAGAGAGAACUCAACAGUGCCAGUUUGGGAUUAUUUUCCAUUCUAGUUUGGGCCCCCGGAAUCACAUGCCUCCAGCACCAUCCCUCCCCCAUGCGUGCAGCACACACUUGGGACAGCAAAUAAAGGAGCCAUUCAGAGUG